This 717-nucleotide long non-coding RNA is filed under the name Monodelphis domestica (gray short-tailed opossum). RNAcentral describes it as "lncRNA (ENSMODG00000034222.2)". Lineage: Eukaryota; Metazoa; Chordata; Mammalia; Didelphimorphia; Didelphidae. The record is from RNAcentral.
CUAGCUCUUCAUGCCAGCCUUGGGAUUCACAGCUGUCCUCUUCCCCUCUGACUUCUCCUUUUAAUUGGAUGGCUCCUCCCAGAACCUCCAGGGAACAAAGGGACCCAGACCAACUAUGUCUUAUUCUUCUCCAGACUACACUAUAGACUUCCUCUUCCAUUUCCCCCACCCCCCUCCUUUGUUCUAUCCUGAGAGAUGGAAAGUAAUCUCAGAAGGGAGAGAUUAGCCAUGGGAAGGAGAGAGGAGAUAAAAGGCUUCUUAGAGAAGGUAACCCAAACAGAUAAAAUAUUUGACCUCAGCAAAUUCCUGUCCUUCUUCUUCAGAGACCUACUUAUUCUUUUAGUGAAAGCAAGAUGUUUUCAGGAAAUCUUGGAAUCCAACUAAAGGAAGUGGCUUAAUGGCACAAAGAGCCACAGUCUAUACUCUGCCCAUCAAACUGCAUUUUUUUUUCUGGACCAGUAGUCAAAAAAACAGCACGAGUUUAUAGUUAGACUGGUGGACCUGAAAGCAGAAGAGACUUGUAUUUGGAUCCUGACUCUGGCGCACAUUAACUCUCUGAUCAGGGAUUAUUAACUUCUUCAAGCCUAGAUGUCAUUAUCAUGGGAAAUAAUAAUUUUUAGAGUACUCCACAAAUUAUUAAAAUCACCAUAACAUGUAAAGUUUUUUGCUAAAUCUUUAAGUAUUACAUAAAUAUCUAGCAUUAUUAAAAGUGAAAUA